AGUGAACGCUGGCGGUAGGCCUAACACAUGCAAGUCGAACGGCAGCACAGAGGAGCUUGCUCCUUGGGUGGCGAGUGGCGGACGGGUGAGGAAUACAUCGGAAUCUACUCUGUCGUGGGGGAUAACGUAGGGAAACUUACGCUAAUACCGCAUACGACCUACGGGUGAAAGCAGGGGACCUUCGGGCCUUGCGCGAUUGAAUGAGCCGAUGUCGGAUUAGCUAGUUGGCGGGGUAAAGGCCCACCAAGGCGACGAUCCGUAGCUGGUCUGAGAGGAUGAUCAGCCACACUGGAACUGAGACACGGUCCAGACUCCUACGGGAGGCAGCGGUGGGGAACAUUGGACAAUGGGCGCAAGCCUGAUCCAGCCAUACCGCGUGGGUGAAGAAGGCCUUCGGGUUGUAAAGCCCUUUUGUUGGGAAAGAAAUCCAGCUGGCUAAUACCCGGUUGGGAUGACGGUACCCAAAGAAUAAGCACCGGCUAACUUCGUGCCAGCCGCCGCAGUAA
This 506-nucleotide ribosomal RNA is filed under the name uncultured bacterium. RNAcentral's name for it is "partial 16S ribosomal RNA". It matches the Rfam family "Bacterial small subunit ribosomal RNA", at positions 29 to 523 of the family's 1533-position model. The record is from RNAcentral.